Molecule: transfer RNA, 73 nt
Filed under: Stegodyphus mimosarum
Lineage: Eukaryota; Metazoa; Arthropoda; Arachnida; Araneae; Eresidae
Rfam family: tRNA
About the family: Transfer RNA (tRNA) molecules are approximately 80 nucleotides in length. Their secondary structure includes four short double-helical elements and three loops (D, anti-codon, and T loops).
Source: Rfam by way of RNAcentral
GCCUUCAUGGUGUAGUGGUCAGCACGCUCGAUGAGUAAACGAGAGGUCCGUGGUUCGAAUCCCGGCGAAGGCG